This 584-nucleotide long non-coding RNA is filed under the name Erythranthe guttata (spotted monkey flower). RNAcentral describes it as "long non-coding RNA (EGUT_LNC003558)". The record is from RNAcentral. Lineage: Eukaryota; Viridiplantae; Streptophyta; Magnoliopsida; Lamiales; Phrymaceae.
CUAAUACUUUUUACAGCUAAUCUCCAUGGUCCUGAAUCAUUGAUCGUAAAAAUACAAAAUUACAAUAUGUAGAACUCGCUUUAGUUUCCUAGCAAAUAAUGAGAGAACCUCUUGGAUAAAAUUCAGUGUCUUUAGCUGCCACCAUACGUUAGGAACAUCAAUAAUAAAACUCGUCCCUCAAAGCAUCCUGUAUAUACAAGAGUAUAUAUAAAUUAGUAUAAUAAGAAAAUCAUACAAGUUACAAAUACCAUGGUCAAUAUUCAAUACAUGAUCUCUAUUACAAUAUUUUUCUCAUUCUUAAUUGUUGUAAAAAUAGAAUAACUUCAAAAAUAGCUAGAAACUAAAAUUAACAGCAAAGAAUGCGAACAAAGCGAAGAAGAAGAUUAGUAGAGCUAGUCAAUCAUGUACGCCCCCAACAUCAUGAAUUUAGCGUAAAGUGUAUGUUCUUAACAAUUUUAAAAUAUAACUAUGUCGACCUGCUCCCUCUGGAUCAGUAUUAAAAUAUAAAAAUGGUGAUCAAGUGAAAAAAAGACUGGGGAAAAAGAGAGCAUACCAAUAAGAAGAUUUGGAGUUUUAUCAUCCAG